GGCAAUAUGGCCGAGUGGUCUAAGGCGCCAGAAUCAGGUCGUAAAGCACGUAUCUGGUCCGAAAGGGCGUGGGUUCGAAUCCCACUGUUGUCA
This is a transfer RNA of Coprinopsis cinerea okayama7#130, 93 nucleotides long. It matches the Rfam family "tRNA". From Rfam's summary of the family: Transfer RNA (tRNA) molecules are approximately 80 nucleotides in length. Their secondary structure includes four short double-helical elements and three loops (D, anti-codon, and T loops). NCBI's taxonomy places the organism in Eukaryota, Fungi, Basidiomycota, Agaricomycetes, Agaricales, Psathyrellaceae. The record is from Rfam.